UGGGGGAAUAUUGGGCAAUGGGCGAAAGCCUGACCCAGCGACGCCGCGUGAAGGAAGAAGAUCUUCGGAUUGUAAACUUUAGUCAACAGGGAAGAAGAAAGUGACGGUACCUGUGGAGGAAGCCACGGCUAACUACGUGCCAGCAGCCGCGGUAAUACGGAGGAUGCGAGCGUUAUCCGGAUUUAUUGGGUUUAAAGGGUGCGCAGGCGGCGCGCCAAGUCAGCGGUCAAAAGUUCCGGGCUCAACCCGGUGUCGCCGUUGAAACUGGCGUGCUCGAGUGCGUGCGAGGAAGGCGGAAUGCGUUGUGUAGCGGUGAAAUGCAUAGAUAUGACGCAGAACUCCGAUUGCGAAGGCAGCUUUCCAGCGCGCUACUGACGCUGAGGCACGAAAGCGUGGGGAUCGAACAGGAUUAGAUACCCUGGUAGU
This 426-nucleotide ribosomal RNA is filed under the name uncultured Porphyromonadaceae bacterium. RNAcentral's name for it is "bacterial SSU rRNA". It matches the Rfam family "Bacterial small subunit ribosomal RNA", at positions 354 to 794 of the family's 1533-position model. Lineage: Bacteria; Pseudomonadati; Bacteroidota; Bacteroidia; Bacteroidales; Porphyromonadaceae. The record is from RNAcentral.